AUUGAACGCUGGCGGCAUGCCUUACACAUGCAAGUCGAACGGCAGCACGGGUGCUUGCACCUGUUGGCGAGUGGCGAACGGGUGAGUAAUACAUCGGCACAUGUCCUUUAGUGGGGGAUAGCCCGGCGAAAGCCGGAUUAAUACCGCAUACGAUCCACGGCUGAAAGCGGGGGCCCUUCGGGCCUCGCGCUAUAGGGUUUGCCGAGGGCUGAUUAGCUAGUUGGUGGGGUAAAGGCCUACCAAGGCGACGAUCAGUAGCUGGUCUGAGAGGACGACCAGCCACACUGGGACUGAGACACGGCCCAGACUCCUACGGGAGGCAGCAGUGGGGAAUAUUGGACAAUGGGCGAAAGCCUGAUCCAGCAAUGCCGCGUGUGUGAAGAAGGCCUUCGGGUUGUAAAGCACUUUUGUCCGGAAAGAAAACCUGGGGUCUAAUACAGUCGGGGGAUGACGGUACCGGAAGAAUAAGCACCGGCUAACUACGUG
Molecule: ribosomal RNA, 486 nt
Filed under: uncultured bacterium
Lineage: Bacteria
Description: partial 16S ribosomal RNA
Rfam family: Bacterial small subunit ribosomal RNA
Source: RNAcentral